GCACAAGCGGUGGAGCAUGUGGUUUAAUUCGACGCAACGCGAAGAACCUUACCUGGGCUCGAAAUGUAGUGGAAUCCGGUGGAAACAUCGGCGCCCAGCAAUGGGCCGCUAUAUAGGUGCUGCAUGGCUGUCGUCAGCUCGUGUCGUGAGAUGUUGGGUUAAGUCCCGCAACGAGCGCAACCCUUGUUACCAGUUGCUACCAUUUAGUUGAGCACUCUGGUGAGACCGCCUCGGAUAACGGGGAGGAAGGCGGGGAUGACGUCAAGUCCUCAUGGCCUUUAUGUCCAGGGCUACACACGUGCUACAAUGGCCGGUACAAACCGUCGCAAACCCAUGAGGGGGAGCUAAUCGGAAAAAGCCGGCCUCAGUUCGGAUUGGAGUCUGCAACUCGACUCCAUGAAGCUGGAAUCGCUAGUAAUCGCGGAUCAGAAUGCCGCGGUGAAUACGUUCCCGGGC
Molecule: ribosomal RNA, 456 nt
Filed under: uncultured bacterium
Lineage: Bacteria
Description: bacterial SSU rRNA
Rfam family: Bacterial small subunit ribosomal RNA
Source: RNAcentral